Molecule: long non-coding RNA, 656 nt
Filed under: Linum usitatissimum (flax)
Lineage: Eukaryota; Viridiplantae; Streptophyta; Magnoliopsida; Malpighiales; Linaceae
Description: long non-coding RNA (LUSI_LNC004641)
Source: RNAcentral
UCGCUCUUGUUGGAGAGGUCAUCUUCGAUGUAUUGGAAGUUUAAGCCUUUGAGUUUGAGGACUAGUUCGAUUCUCCGGCUGUAGAGACUGGCCCAGGUUCCAAAGUAGCUUGAUUUCGUCUGCCAUUUUUUCUUGAUUUUUAUUAUCAUCUAUGGAGUACUAUGGAAGAAGCAGUAUAUAUCUGAUGUGCAGGAAGGAAUCGAAGUUUAGUGCAUUGGAGCUAAAUGGGGAAAUGUCAUGGCUGACAUCAGAGAUCUUAUGGGACCUCUGAGAUCUGGAUAUUCUACCUUAUCCCUUUGCGAGAUCGAUAAUGCCAAUCACACUAGAAAUUUUCAAAAAGUCGCACAUUUUGCCUUGGUUCUCGUUCAGGCAAAUCGUCGAACACCUUGUCUGCACAACUUAUGAAAUUUAUUCCAGAGACAUAGGUAAAUCACAACUCAGUAAUUUCUUAUUCGCAUAUGAUUAAAGCUGUAGACUAUACGGGGGGAGGUGUGUUCCACAGUAAUGGUGUUCCUAACAAUUUUAUUUUAAGCCGCUUUGGGUUUAGAAGAAGCUUCCUCUGUAGCUGCACGAGCACGACGAGCUCGGACGUAAUCAAGAUGUUUCUCCCUUGGCGGCAGGCAUCCUAAAACGACGUCGUCAUCUCGAACCUUCUC